RNAcentral lists this ribosomal RNA (269 nucleotides) under uncultured Planctomycetales bacterium. RNAcentral describes it as "partial 16S ribosomal RNA". It matches the Rfam family "Bacterial small subunit ribosomal RNA", at positions 565 to 832 of the family's 1533-position model. The record is from RNAcentral. Lineage: Bacteria; Pseudomonadati; Planctomycetota; Planctomycetia; Planctomycetales.
GAGCACGUAGGUGGGUUUGUAAGUCAGAUGUGAAAGCCUUCUGUUCAACGGAAGAAUUGCAUCUGAAACUGCAAAUCUUGAGUAUAGGAGGGGAGAAUGGAACUUCUGGUGGAGCGGUGAAAUGCGUAGAUAUCAGAAGGAACGCCGGCGGCGAAAGCGAUUCUCUGGCCUAUUACUGACACUGAGUGUGCGAAAGCUAGGGGAGCAAACGGGAUUAGAUACCCCGGUAGUCCUAGCCGUAAACGAUGGGCACUAAGUAGAGGGGUUUU